GAGUUUGAUCAUGGCUCAGAUUAACGCUGGCGGCAUGCCUAACACAUGCAAGUCGAACGGUAGCAGGCCUUCGGGUGCUGACGAGUGGCGGACGGGUGAGUAAUGCGUAGGAAUCUGUCUUUUAGUGGGGGACAACCCAGGGAAACUUGGGCUAAUACCGCAUGAGCCCUGAGGGGGAAAGCGGGGGAUCUUCGGACCUCGCGCUAAGGGAAGAGCCUACGUCUGAUUAGCUAGUUGGUAGGGUAAAGGCCUACCAAGGCGACGAUCAGUAGCUGGUCUGAGAGGACGACCAGCCACACUGGGACUGAGACACGGCCCAGACUCCUACGGGAGGCAGCAGUGGGGAAUUUUUCGCAAUGGGGGCAACCCUGACGAAGCAAUGCCGCGUGGAUGAAGAAGGCCUUCGGGUUGUAAAGUCCUUUCGUGGGGGACGAAAAGGUGGUUCCUAAUACGAGCUGCUGUUGACGUGAACCCAAGAAGAAGCACCGGCUAACUCCGUGCCAGCAGCCGCGGUAAUACGGGGGGUGCAAGCGUUAAUCGGAAUCACUGGGCGUAAAGG
RNAcentral lists this ribosomal RNA (559 nucleotides) under uncultured bacterium. Its description in RNAcentral is "bacterial SSU rRNA". It matches the Rfam family "Bacterial small subunit ribosomal RNA", at positions 9 to 566 of the family's 1533-position model. The record is from RNAcentral.